CCUACGGGAGGCAGCAGUGAGGAAUAUUGGUCAAUGGACGAGAGUCUGAACCAGCCAAGUAGCGUGAAGGAUGACUGCCCUAUGGGUUGUAAACUUCUUUUAUAUGGGAAUAAACUGUUCCACGUGUGGGAUUUUGUAUGUACCAUAUGAAUAAGGAUCGGCUAACUCCGUGCCAGCAGCCGCGGUAAUACGGAGGAUCCGAGCGUUGUCCGGAUUUAUUGGGUUUAAAGGGAGCGUAGGUGGAUUGUUAAGUCAGUUGUGAAAGUUUGCGGCUCAACCGUAAAAUUGCAGUUGAAACUGGCAGUCUUGAGUACAGUAGAGGUGGGCGGAAUUCGUGGUGUAGCGGUGAAAUGCGUAGAUAUCACGAAGAACUCCGAUUGCGAAGGCAGUUCACUGGACUGCAACGGACACUGAGGCUCGAAAGUGUGGGUAUCAAACAGGAUUAGAUACCCCAGUAGUC
Molecule: ribosomal RNA, 460 nt
Filed under: uncultured bacterium
Lineage: Bacteria
Description: partial 16S ribosomal RNA
Rfam family: Bacterial small subunit ribosomal RNA
Source: RNAcentral